This 449-nucleotide ribosomal RNA is filed under the name uncultured bacterium. RNAcentral describes it as "partial 16S ribosomal RNA". It matches the Rfam family "Bacterial small subunit ribosomal RNA", at positions 29 to 523 of the family's 1533-position model. The record is from RNAcentral.
AGCGAACGCUGGCGGCAGGCCUAACACAUGCAAGUCGAACGAACUCUUCGGAGUUAGUGGCGGACGGGUGAGUAACACGUGGGAACGUGCCUUUUGGUUCGGAAUAACUCAGGGAAACUUGUGCUAAUACCGAAUGUGCCCUUCGGGGGAAAGAUUUAUCGCCAUUAGAGCGGCCCGCGUCGGAUUAGCUAGUUGGUGAGGUAAAAGCACACCAAGGCGACGAUCAGUAGCUGGUCUGAGAGGAUGACCGGCCACACUGGGACAGAGACACGGCCCAGACUCCUACGGGAGGCAGCAGUGGGGAAUCUUGCGCAAUGGGCGAAAGCCUGACGCAGCCAUGCCGUGUGAAUGAUGAAGGUCUUAGGAUUGUAAAAUUCUUUCACCGGGGACGAUAAUGACGGUACCCGGAGAAGAAGCCCCGGCUAACUUCGUGCCAGCCGCCGCCGUAA